Molecule: ribosomal RNA, 375 nt
Filed under: uncultured bacterium
Lineage: Bacteria
Description: bacterial SSU rRNA
Rfam family: Bacterial small subunit ribosomal RNA
Source: RNAcentral
GACGAACCGUGCGAACGUUGUUCGGAAUCACUGGGCUUAAAGGGCGCGUAGGCGGGCUACCAAGUCUGUGGUGAAAUCCUCCAGCUCAACUGGAGAACGGCCGUGGAUACUGGGAGCCUCGAGGGAGAUAGGGGCAGGCGGAACUGAUGGUGGAGCGGUGAAAUGCGUUGAUAUCAUCAGGAACUCCGGUGGCGAAGGCGGCCUGCUGGAUCUCAUCUGACGCUGAGGCGCGAAAGCCAGGGGAGCAAACGGGAUUAGAUACCCCGGUAGUCCUGGCCCUAAACGAUGAGUACUAGGUAGUAGGCCAGACAUGGGCUUACUGCCGGAGCAAAAGUGCUAAGUACUCCGCCUGGGGAGUAUGGUCGCAAGGCUGAA